This 497-nucleotide ribosomal RNA is filed under the name uncultured bacterium. Its description in RNAcentral is "partial 16S ribosomal RNA". It matches the Rfam family "Bacterial small subunit ribosomal RNA", at positions 28 to 507 of the family's 1533-position model. The record is from RNAcentral.
GACGAACGCUGGCGGCGUGCCUAAUACAUGCAAGUUGAGCGCUGAAGGUUGGUACUUGUACCAACUGGAUGAGCAGCGAACGGGUGAGUAACGCGUGGGGAAUCUGCCUUUGAGCGGGGGACAACAUUUGGAAACGAAUGCUAAUACCGCAUAAAAACUUUAAACACAAGUUUUAAGUUUGAAAGAUGCAAUUGCAUCACUCAAAGAUGAUCCCGCGUUGUAUUAGCUAGUUGGUGAGGUAAAGGCUCACCAAGGCGAUGAUACAUAGCCGACCUGAGAGGGUGAUCGGCCACAUUGGGACUGAGACACGGCCCAAACUCCUACGGGAGGGAGCAGUAGGGAAACUUCGGCAAUGGACGGAAGUCUGACCGAGCAACGCCGCGUGAGUGAAGAAGGUUUUCGGAUCGUAAAACUCUGUUGGUAGAGAAGAACGUUGGUGAGAGUGGAAAGCUCAUCAAGUGACGGUAACUACCCAGAAAGGGACGGCUAACUACGUG